Molecule: long non-coding RNA, 585 nt
Filed under: Mus musculus (house mouse)
Lineage: Eukaryota; Metazoa; Chordata; Mammalia; Rodentia; Muridae
Description: RIKEN cDNA 4930558G05 gene (4930558G05Rik)
Source: RNAcentral
GAGCAGGAAGCUCUACCCCUGAGCAAGCAGGUUUCAGGCUGGGGAGGGAAGACUACACAUAUGCAGCUAGAGACACGAGCUCCAGGGUACUGAGGGAUUGCCCUGACAAAGAAUGGGUCCUAUACUCAGGUGAUUUCAUGGUUCUGGAAAGGAUAUGACAGAGGAAGACCCCCUAAAGAACUUGAAAAUUUCAAGAGAAUCAAACAGGACAGGUGAAAGGGAAAAAAGUGGGACUUCCGCGCUCCAGGAGGAGGAAGAGCAGAUGCAGGGAUAGAGAAGACUUCCGACUAGGCUUUGGAACAAGAAGGAUGCAACAACCAUGUGAUCUCUAAAGUAUACUAGCCCUUCAUGUUUGUGAAUGGAAGAACUCUGGAUAAUUUUAUUUGUUUUGAGUGCUGCAUCCAAGAGAAACUGGAAACUGGUCUGAGCUGUAAAGAUUUGUCUCAACUGUAAUUCGAGAUAACUUUCCUUGUCUUCUCAACAGCUCAUUCAAGGUUAAAUGACCAUAGAGUCUAGGUAAUUUUGGCUACAUUCUCUGUUAGUAUCAAGAAUUUAUUAAAAUAUAGUAUCUAUUUUUCUAGUUAC